AUUGAACGCUGGCGGCAUGCCUUACACAUGCAAGUCGAACGGCAGCAUGAUCUAGCUUGCUAGAUUGAUGGCGAGUGGCGGACGGGUGAGUAAUACAUCGGAACGUGCCCUGUAGUGGGGGAUAACUAGUCGAAAGAUUAGCUAAUACCGCAUACGACCUGAGGGUGAAAGUGGGGGACCGCAAGGCCUCAUGCUAUAGGAGCGGCCGAGGUCUGAUUAGCUAGUUGGUGAGGUAAAGGCUCACCAAGGCGACGAUCAGUAGCUGGUCUGAGAGGACGAUCAGCCACACUGGGACUGAGACACGGCCCAGACUCCUACGGGAGGCAGCAGUGGGGAAUUUUGGACAAUGGGCGAAAGCCUGAUCCAGCAAUGCCGCGUGUGUGAAGAAGGCCUUCGGGUUGUAAAGCACUUUUGUCCGGAAAGAAAUGGCUCUGGUUAAUACCUGGGGUCGAUGACGGUACCGGAAGAAUAAGGACCGGCUAACUACGUG
Molecule: ribosomal RNA, 490 nt
Filed under: uncultured bacterium
Lineage: Bacteria
Description: partial 16S ribosomal RNA
Rfam family: Bacterial small subunit ribosomal RNA
Source: RNAcentral